This 292-nucleotide ribosomal RNA is filed under the name uncultured bacterium. RNAcentral's name for it is "partial 16S ribosomal RNA". It matches the Rfam family "Bacterial small subunit ribosomal RNA", at positions 505 to 796 of the family's 1533-position model. The record is from RNAcentral.
GUGCCAGCCGCCGCGGUAAUACGGGGGGGGCAAGCGUUGUUCGGAAUUACUGGGCGUAAAGGGCUCGUAGGCGGCCAACUAAGUCAGACGUGAAAUCCCUCGGCUUAACCGGGGAACUGCAUCUGAUACUGGAUGGCUUGAGAUUGGGAGAGGGAUGCGGAAUUCCAGGUGUAGCGGUGAAAUGCGUAGAUAUCUGGAGGAACACCGGUGGCGAAGGCGGCAUCCUGGACCAACACUGACGCUGAGGAGCGAAAGCCAGGGGAGCAAACGGGAUUAGAUACCCCCGUAGUCC